UUGUGCGUCACUGUCCGCCGCCGUGUCCCCAGGCUACUCCAGCCUGCCUCCUUUCCAGUCUGCGGCCUCAAUGUCCUUACCCCGGUGUGCCCUGCUGUGGGCUCGGCUCCCCGCCGGGCGCCAGGCUGGCCACCGGGCAGCCGUCUGCUCUGCCCUUCGCUCCCACACCGUGCCCUUUCCCGGGGCUCUCGGGCGCGUUUCUGCCGUCGCCUGCGCCUCCUCCUCCGCCUCAGGAGGCUCCAAAACCCCGAACACGUCCUUGUUCGUGCCGCUGACUGUCAAACCUCAGGGUCCCAGCGCGGAUGGCGACGUCGGGGCCGAACUAACUCGCCCUCUGGACAAGAAUGAAGUCAAGAAGAUCUUAGAUAAGUUUUACAAGAGGAAGGAAAUUCAGAAGCUGGGUGCUGAUUAUGGACUUGAUGCGCGUCUCUUCCACCAAGCUUUCAUAAGCUUUAGAAACUAUAUCAUGCAGUCUCAUUCCCUGGAUGUGGACAUUCACAUUAUUUUAAAUGAUAUUUGCUUCAGUGCAGCUCAUGUGGAUGAUUUAUUUCCAUUUUUCUUGAGACACGCAAAGCAAAUAUUUCCUGUGUUGGAGUGUAAGGAUGAUCUACGUAAAAUCAGCGACCUAAGAAUACCACCUAACUGGUACCCAGAAGCUAGAGCCAUACAGCGGAAGAUAAUAUUCCAUUCAGGCCCCACAAACAGUGGAAAGACUUAUCAUGCAAUUCAGAAAUACCUGUCAGCAAAAUCUGGAGUGUAUUGUGGCCCUUUAAAAUUACUGGCACAUGAGAUCUUCGAAAAGAGUAAUGCUGCUGGUGUGCCAUGUGAUUUGGUAACAGGUGAAGAGCGUGUGACAGUAGAGCCAGAUGGGAAACAGGCUGCCCACGUUGCUUGUACUGUUGAGAUGUGCAGUGUUACAACUCCCUAUGAAGUGGCUGUGAUUGAUGAAAUUCAGAUGAUUAAAGACCCAGCCAGAGGAUGGGCCUGGACCAGAGCACUGCUAGGACUCUGUGCUAAAGAAAUCCAUUUGUGUGGAGAAUCUGCUGCUAUUGACCUGGUUACUGAGCUUAUGUACACAACUGGGGAAGAUGUGGAGGUUCGAACCUACAAGAGGCUUACCCCCAUUUCUGUGCUGGAUCACGCACUAGAAUCUUUAGACAACCUUCGGCCUGGGGACUGCAUUGUCUGUUUUAGCAAGAAUGAUAUUUAUUCUGUGAGUCGACAGAUUGAAAUUCGGGGAUUGGAAUCAGCUGUUAUAUAUGGCAGUCUCCCACCUGGGACAAAACUUGCUCAAGCAAAAAAGUUUAAUGAUCCUGAUGAUCCAUGCAAAAUCCUGGUUGCUACAGAUGCAAUUGGCAUGGGACUUAAUUUGAGCAUAAGAAGAAUUAUUUUUUACUCCCUUAUGAAGCCCAGUAUCAAUGAAAAGGGAGAGAGAGAAAUAGAACCAAUCACCACUUCUCAAGCCUUGCAGAUUGCUGGCAGGGCUGGUAGAUUCAGUUCGAAAUUUAAAGAAGGAGAGGUUACAACAAUGCAUCGAGAAGAUCUCAAUUUAUUAAAGGAAAUUUUGAGUAGACCUGUGGAUCCUAUAAAGGCAGCUGGUCUUCAUCCAACUGCUGAACAGAUUGAAAUGUUUGCCUACCAUCUCCCUGACACAACGCUUUCUAAUCUCAUUGAUAUUUUUGUAGAUUUUUCACAAGUUGAUGGGCAGUAUUUUGUCUGCAAUAUGGAUGAUUUUAAAUUUUCUGCAGAGUUGAUCCAGCACAUUCCAUUAAGUCUACGAGUGAGGUAUGUUUUCUGCACAGCCCCUAUCAACAAGAAGCAGCCUUUUGUCUGUUCUUCCUUGUUACAGUUUGCCAGGCAGUAUAGCAGAAAUGAGCCCCUGACCUUCUCAUGGUUACGCAGAUAUAUUAAAUGGCCAUUACUUCCACCUAAGAAUAUUAAAGACCUCAUGGAUCUUGAGGCUGUUCAUGAUGUCUUGGAUCUCUACCUGUGGCUAAGCUACCGGUUCAUAGAUAUGUUUCCAGAUGCCAGCCUUGUUCGAGAUCUUCAGAAACAACUAGAUGGUAUUAUCCAAGAUGGUGUACACAACAUCACCAAACUGAUUAAAAUUUCAGAGACACAUAAACUGCUGAAUUUGGAGGGCUUGUCAGCAGAGCGCUCAUCCCGUUUGUCAGGAACAUUAAAGAGCCAAGCCAGAAGGAAUCGCAGCACCAAAGCUUUAGGGAGUAAAGCUGCGGAGCCCCUCAGCCCUGCUGCAGGAGAGAAAUCCCUUGCUUCCAGAUUGGUGCAGCAAGGCCUCCUCACUGCAGACAUGCUGAAACAGCUGGAGAAAGAGUGGAUGACACAACAAACUGAGCAUGGCAAAGAAAGAACAGAAUCUGGAACUUACUCAAAAGGGACAAGAAGAAAGAAGAAGGAUCCUGAUUCAGAUUAGUUUUAUUUUUAUUUUUGCCAAUAAAAUCUAUUUUAAAAUCUUUUUUUUUUCUUUAUAUGCAUUUACUGCCUGCUAUGGUACUGUGGCUUUUUACUGGGUUUUUUGGCUUAAAAAAAUUCACUCUUAAGGAUGACUAAACUGCUGUUUGUUUCCAUGUUCAAGAGAUUUUAUUUAAAGCCUCAUUUAAUGGCCAUUUGUAGUAUAUCACUAAGACAAUGCACUGAAAAGAACUCUGCAUGAGGAUAAAAUCAGUUUGAUGAAUUGUUUUGACCAGUUUCCUAAACCUUUGCUGACGAUGUCAUGGGUGGAAUUCUUUGACAAACAUUGCUGUUUGUUGUACCCGUGCCCAGAGGCUAGUCUUUGUGCUGGAAAUACAAAAUGAGACAUAAUAUUCCUGCCCUUAUGGAGAUCAUAUUUUGGAUAUAUUGAUAGGAAUAAGUUAACAAAUAAUGUCAGCUCUCUGAGGGCCAUUGUUGUCUAUCUAGUUCACUGCUUGAUCUGUGGUGCCUGGAAUAUAGUCGAAUGCAUAGAUGUAAUUUGCAGAGUUAAAUGCUAGAAAGAAGUAGAAUAAGGGAAGAGAGUGGUAGUCGUUGGUGGGCUAUUUACAUAGAAAGAGUGAUCUUCCCAUGUCCAGAGGCCAGUCUGAUGCAUAGUGGCCUUUACUUGUCCAAGAAAGUUUUAGGCCUUGAGUAGAGAUGUGGCUAAAACCAGCUUAAGGCCAUAGGCUUUGGAGUUGCACAGGCCUUGGUUUAGCUUCUCACUGCUACCAGCUUAGUGACCUUGCCCUUUGUUCAGUUUGAUCUCUCCAACUGAAAAAGAUGGGCAAUAAAGCCUACCCAGAGUUGUUGUGAGGUUAAGUGUGAUGAGAUGCCAUUUACCACAGGACCUGCUAUACAGGCAGUGUUUUAUAAGUGAACCUUAAGGUUUGGGCACAUUCUGAGCUGUGAAUUGAACUCUCAGGUCAUUCGAAGAACUAAACUAAUUUCCUGAGCAACUGCUAAAUUGAGGCUGACUUAGGACUAGGGAUUAAACUGAUUUGGUUGCAAUUGGAUUAAGGAACAGCCAAGUUUUCAAAGUUAUCUUCUGACUUUUUCUUCUGUAGUUCAGAGUUCAGAUGAUAAUUCAUUUAACUGAGGUAGCAGUCUUUAUUCUUCUAACCUUUGCCUUUAUAGAAGGCUGAACAGGUGGCACUGACUCUCUUUCUCCCUUGCUUGAGGAUAAACAGUAGUGAAAUGCCUGGAAAGGGCAUCUUUCUUUUGGUAUUUUGCAGCUGAACAACUUUAGCUUCUAGAACUUGCUUCCCACUGUGAUUUACACCACAGUAGACACAGUCCAUUCUUGCCCAGAUGGUCUCAAGAAAUGCCCAUAAGCUGAACUGGACAAUGCAUUUGGUCUUGUAGUUAAGUGAUGAGAUACAUCACUUAGAGGGUUAUUCUCCUACUUUCUCCACUUUGGAAGCCAGAAUUGGUAAGUCAGAGAAGACGCUUAGGCAACACACUUGCAAACUUAGGCAAGUUAAAUGUUAGUGAAGCCUCAGAUAAGAGUUGAGAUGGGAGUGCCUUAACGGAAGUGCUGCUUGAACGUUGAGCUGAAGGGUGUUUAUAAAUACUAGUGAUAGCUUACCUUUCACCUCUCCUUGCUUUGUGGAAGAGGAGAGCUCUGUGGCUAGGCAGAGAAGAGAUUCAAGAAAGGUGAAAUCAGGUGACAUAAAAAAGGAAAUACAGAAUUGUAGUGUUCCCGAAUAAUUUUCUACAGUAUCUGAAAUUGUCACUGAAAACAGUUUGAUCCUCCUCUGCUGUAAAUUUGACACGCCACUUAUCUUUGUGGGCUUCUGGGCAGCUAAGUUCCAGGCAUACAUUUCACUCGAGUCAUCUCAAUUUUUCCAAAACACAACUUCUUCUCUUUUCCUUGCAGUUUUCUAAUAGGCUUUGAAGCACCUGCCUGAAAACUCUUCUUGGACUAUUGUGGAUUCACCUGAGCAUCAACAUUGGGUAUGGACUGAGGCUUAGAUGCUGACCUCAGUUCUAUCAGUACAGAUCUGGGGUUCCAUCCAGGAUCCUUCAUUGUAUUUAGAUGUCACGCCUCUUUGGACUCCUCUUGGCUGUGAUAGUUUCUCAGGCUUUCCUUGCUUUUGAUGACUCUGACAGCUUUGAGGAGCCCUAGUCACGUAUUGUACUACAGAAUGUCCCUUAAUUGGGAUUUGUCUGAUGUGUCUUAGAAUUAGCCUGAAGUUACGGGUUUUUGAGAGGAAGACCACAGAGGUAAAGUACUAUUCUUACCACGCCAUAGCAAAGGUACAUACCAUGGACGUCUCUGUUGAAGUUAACCUUGAUCAUCUGGCUGGGGUAGUGUUUGUCAGGUUUCUCCACAGUACAGGUACUUUCCCCAGUCUUCCCCACCGCCUUUCCAUGCUGCGUGCUUGGAAGGAAGCCACUCUGCACAGCCCAUGUUUCAGGAGUGGGGAUUAUGCUCCAUCUCCCUGGGUGUUGGGGGAAGGGAAGUACCUACGUAAAUUGUUUAGAAUCCUUCUGCAGGGAAGAUUUGUCUUCUCCCACAUUUAUAUACAUAUUAUUUUUUCAUCUGAUUAUAUUAGUAGGGAUUGAUGGGGGUUUAUUUUAUACUUUGGGUUAUAAUCCAAUAAUACUUUAUCUCGUUGCUCAGAUUGUUCUAGCAUGGUUAUCAUGAGCUCUUUGGGUUGGCUCCUAUAUCCCUUUGUUGUAUCCCCAUCAUUUGUUUUUUAGCGUUCUUAUUUUUUUGGCACUAUAAGAUGCUCCAGGCCCCUCUUGUAUAUAUUAUUCUGCCUAGCUCUAGAAUCAGACAUUUCUCCAAGGAACACUGGCUUUGUUUUUUGUUGUUUGUUUUUGAGGAUGAUAUUAAAAACCAAGCUCUGAGUGCUAGUUA
Molecule: RNA transcript, 5335 nt
Organism: Phacochoerus africanus (Common warthog)
Lineage: Eukaryota; Metazoa; Chordata; Mammalia; Artiodactyla; Suidae
Gene: SUPV3L1
Gene name: Suv3 like RNA helicase
Exons: 16
Source: RefSeq, a predicted model, not a curated record